Molecule: long non-coding RNA, 4121 nt
Filed under: Gossypium barbadense (sea-island cotton)
Lineage: Eukaryota; Viridiplantae; Streptophyta; Magnoliopsida; Malvales; Malvaceae
Description: long non-coding RNA (GBAR_LNC001021)
Source: RNAcentral
AAAUCCUCAAUGCGUGCACGGGAUCGAACCUGUUCCAUCACCGAAUCUCAUGGCUCUCAGUGAGGAAGAUUGGAAGAAAUGGAUUGAGCUUACCGGAAGGGAUUUAAACUUCACGAUUCCACCUGAAGCUAGUGAUUUUAGUUCAUGGAGAAACCUCCCGAACACUGAUUUUGAGCUCGAGAGACCUCCAAUAAUGAAGAGCGUACUCAAUUUAUCUACUCAAUCUUCGAGCCAUAUGUACAGUGAUGGCACUGACUUAUCACUUGUGAGCAACAAAAGGAGGAAAGACGAUGAUUGCUAUUUGCCAGUCAUUCCUCCAUCCGACCGAAUCCCAGACAUGGAAAUUCAUCCUAGUGAACCACACUGGUUAAAUGACUUCAGCGGGGUAAUGAAAAACGCUUACGGUCCCGUUACCGCUGCGAAAGCCAUCUAUGAGGAUGAAGCCAGUUACUUGAUCAUUAUCAGCUUGCCUUUUGUUGAUCUUCAAAGGGUAAAGGUCUCAUGGAGGAACACACUCACUCAUGGUAUUAUAAAACUAUCUUGUGUGAGCACAACAUGUAUGCCGUUCAUCAAACGACACAACCGGACAUUCAAGCUUACAGAUCCCGCUCCCGAGCAUUGCCCUCCCGGCGAAUUCGUUAGAGAAAUCCCAUUGUCAACUCGAAUCCCCGAAGACGCCGACAUAGAAGCAUAUCACGAUGGGCCAGGUUCUGUUCUCGAGAUUAUGGUUCCGAAACUACGGAUGGUACCUGAAGAACAUGAAAUCCGGGUUUGUCUUCGUCCUAAACAUGUAGGGAAUGAUCUCAUGUUGACAUGAACUAUAAAAGGGUAGUUGCUAUGGUUGGUUCUGCAUUGUUUUUACUGACUUUUGUACCAUACAAUGUAAUCUAUGAAAACAAAAAUAUGGGUCUUCCGUUUUUUACUUUUUACCAUUUUUGUCCCACUAAUUAAUAUGUUUUGUUUAGUGGUCCUUUUUUGACUGUAAUUAGAUUUUGAUUUUUCGGACAUUUGAUUAUAUUAAACUUGUGUUUUGUAGUUUCAGACAUUUAUUGAAUUUUAAUGAAGAGGUAGAAGUUGUUGAAUUACUUGGUUAAUCCUUGUAUUAUAGAUCAAAGAACAAAUUCGUCUUUUUAGUACAAAAUAUCGAACAACAAAUUUAUCCCUCUAUUAUAAAAUAGAUAAUUUACUCCUUGUAUAAAUCUUUGAACUUGUUAACUUUUCUCAACUUAACCUGUAAAAUAUUUUUUUGUCGCACUAUUUAAUUAGGACAAAAGAAAAAAGUGAAGCAUUAAAUUCAACAUUGAAGCUAAAUUUUAAGUAUUUAAUUUUGAUUAAAAUAAAAUUUAAGUAUAUAACUAAAAAAAUUUAAGUACCAAAAUGAUAUCAUUAGACACAUUAUUUGAAUAAAAAAAUGCACGUAUUUAAUUAGGACAAAAGAAAAAACAUAAAGCACUAAAUUGAAUAUUAAAGCUAAAUUUUAGAUAUUUAAUUUUGACUAAAAAAAUUUUUAAGUAUCAAAUAAAAAAAAAACUUAAAUACUAAAGUGAAUAUUAAAGCAAAACUUAAAUAUCAAAUUGAACAUUGAAACUAAGCUCAAGUUCCAAAUAGUAUAUUAACCAACUAAAAACUAAGAACACACAAUAUCGCUAUAAAAUAAUCAUGGGUAAAUUACACUUAAGAUCACUAAAUUAUUAAUAAAUUUAUGUUUUAGUCACUCAAAUUUUAAAAAGUUACAAAUUAGUCAUCAAACUAUUCAAAAGUUUUCAAUUAAGUCACUGAGCUGUUAAUUUUUUUUAAAUAUAGAACGAUUAGACGAUACAGUGGAGUAGUACCCAUUAACGAGAAGAAGAACAUACUUAGAUCUAAGUUGAUUUGACGGUUGAUGUUGAAGACCAAAGAAAGAGUUAUUUGAAUUUUAAUUCCCAAAUUUGUGACAUUCAAAGCUCUUUUAUAAAAAAAAAGGAAAAAAAUUAUAGAAGAGAUGAGUAAGAGAGAGCUUUUGAUUGGUGUAGGCAAUUCGAAUAGAGAAGGUUAUACAAUAACAGCUUUAACAGUCUAAUAACUUAAAUAAAAACUUUCGAAUAGUAACUUUUCGAAAUUGAAUAAAUUUAAUGACUUUAGAUGUAAUUUACCCGAUAAACGAAACGGUGGAGCAUUGAGAAAAGUGGCGCGAAGGAAAAGUGCACCGUUACCGUUAAGUAACGGCGAUAAUUAAUAUGGGUGAUAUCCAGUGUAGGCUUUUACUAACGAUAUAAACCUCUGUAUAAUGAGACGGUGGCUUACCUUUCAAUUAUCUCUCUUCUCAUUAUCUCUUUCACUUUUUUUUUAUUAUUAUUUUCAUUUUCCUCUGUUUUUUCUUUUCUAUUUUCUUCUCUGUUUUCUCUUUAUUGGCCACAAAACAAAGCAAGUAAAUGGAAGGAACGAAAGGGGGGGGGGGGGGGAAAGCAUAUAAACGUAUAAUAAUAUAAAAAAGAAAAUAAAAGUUAAAAAAAUAGCUGAAGAGAUAAAGGAAAGGGAAAAAAAUGGUGGGUAAGGUUGGGGAUGAUGAUGAUUUAGUGGAGCUGAGCAUUAUAAUCGUUCAUGAAGGUCCUUCUUCAUCUCGAUUCCUCGAUGCUUAUCCCAUAAGGUAACCUUUAAAGAUCCCUUCAUUUCUCUUCUAGAAAAUUUGAAAUUUCUCUCUCUUUUUUUAAUUUUGCUUUGUCAAAGUUGGGUCUUCUUUUUUUUUUUUUAAUUCUUAAGAUGUAAUUUUUUUUAUGUAAAGCAAAAAUAAGAAUUGGGUUUUUUGUUUUUUUAUGGAAUUUAUGCUUUUGAUUCAGUUUCUGUAGAUUUUAGGGUUCUUUCUUUAGCAGCUUUUUAGGGAAAUUUAUUGUGUUAGAAUUUAGGGUAAAAUUAUUUAUGUUUUACAAUUUGUUUGUUAUAUUGUUAAUAAGUUGGGUUUUAUUGAAUUUGAUUUAAAAAAAAAUAAGUUGUUGAUUUCUGUGGGUUUUUCUGGGGAUUGUUGUUUUAUGUUUUCUUUUAUAAAAUUCUAGGGUUUUGAUUGAGGGAAAAAUCAUGUGGUGAUUGAUAAUUUAUUGAAUUUUUUGGGGGGUUUUUUGGGGUAAAUGGAAAAAUUCAAUCCACAAGCAGCAAUUAUUACAAUCUCCAAUUGCAUAAGCUGAAAUGGGAGCUUCUCUCCUUACAACUUUCUCAAUGGAGAAUCAUCAUCCUUCAACUCUUUUAUCUAUGGACUCGAGCGCACACGACGAGUUUGAUUUAGACAAGAAUCGGCAAUCGAUUCUGUCCCUGCCACCGGAUAUCAAUUUGCCACUAUCUGCUGAGCGUAGCCCUCCACCACAGCAGCCAUGGAACUCCGAUCAGUGCGAUAUUCUAGAUGUUGGGCUGUGUUCACAAGCUUAUGAAACCGAGAGCUACCUUCCAGUCUCGAAAGCCGGACGGAAAUGCACUAAGCGGGUAGAUAGCAUAUGGGGUGCUUGGUUGUUCUUUAGCUUUUACUUCAAACCUGCUUUGAAUGAGAAAUCCAAGGCUAAGAUCGUUCGGGAUAGCAAUGGUGUUUCUGGUUUCGAUAAAUCGGAUCUUAAGUUGGAUGUUUUCAUGGUUCAACACGACAUGGAGAAUAUGUAUAUGUGGGUUUUCAAGGAGAAACCCGAGAAUGCAUUGGGUAAAAUGCAGCUUCGAAGCUACAUGAAUGGGCAUUCUCGCCAAGGGGAACGUCCUUUUCCUUUUAGUGUGGAUAAGGGAUUUAUCCGCUCCCAUAGGAUGCAACGGAAGCAUUAUAGAGGAUUGUCGAAUCCUCAGUGUGUGCACGGGAUCGAACUUGUUCCAUCACCGAAUCUCAUUGCUCUCAGUGAAGAAGAUCGGAAGAAAUGGAUUGAGCUUACCGGAAGGGAUUUAAACUUCACGAUUCCACUCGAGGCUAGUGAUUUUAGUUCAUGGAGAAACCUCCCGAACACUGAUUUUGAGCUCGAGAGACCUCAGAUAAUAAAGAACAUACCACAUUCUCACUCGAGGAAACUGCUCAACGGGUCUGGACUCAAUUUAUCUACUCAAUCAGCGAGCCAUACGUACGGUGAUGGCACAGACUUAUCACUUGUGAGCAACAAGAGGAGGAAAGACGAUGAUUG